CACGUGAGCAACCUGCCCCUGACUCUGGGAUAAGCGCUGGAAACGGCGUCUAAUACUGGAUACGAACCACGAAGGCAUCUUCAGUGGUUGGAAAGAAUUUCGGUUGGGGAUGGGCUCGCGGCCUAUCAGCUUGUUGGUGAGGUAAUGGCUCACCAAGGCGUCGACGGGUAGCCGGCCUGAGAGGGUGACCGGCCACACUGGGACUGAGACACGGCCCAGACUCCUACGGGAGGCAGCAGUGGGGAAUAUUGCACAAUGGGCGAAAGCCUGAUGCAGCAACGCCGCGUGAGGGAUGACGGCCUUCGGGUUGUAAACCUCUUUUAGCAGGGAAGAAGCGAAAGUGACGGUACCUGCAGAAAAAGCGCCGGCUAACUACGUGCCAGCAGCCGCGGUAAUACGUAGGGCGCAAGCGUUAUCCGGAAUUAUUGGGCGUAAAGAGCUCGUAGGCGGUUUGUCGCGUCUGCUGUGAAAUCCGGAGGCUCAACCUCCGGCCUGCAGUGGGUACGGGCAGACUAGAGUGCGGUAGGGGAGAUUGGAAUUCCUGGUGUAGCGGUGGAAUGCGCAGAUAUCAGGAGGAACACCGAUGGCGAAGGCAGAUCUCUGGGCCGUAACUGACGCUGAGGAGCGAAAGGGUGGGGAG
Molecule: ribosomal RNA, 640 nt
Filed under: Microbacterium hydrocarbonoxydans
Lineage: Bacteria; Bacillati; Actinomycetota; Actinomycetes; Micrococcales; Microbacteriaceae
Description: bacterial SSU rRNA
Rfam family: Bacterial small subunit ribosomal RNA
Source: RNAcentral